Molecule: non-coding RNA, 521 nt
Organism: Camellia sinensis
Lineage: Eukaryota; Viridiplantae; Streptophyta; Magnoliopsida; Ericales; Theaceae
Source: RefSeq, a predicted model, not a curated record
UUGGCUUGGAGGCUAAAGAUGGAGGUUUCACCAUGGUGUUACAUCUGCGCAGGUCAUGCUGCCUUUGGCUAGUCCUACACUUCUAUUGAGAGAGAGGGAGAGAGAUCUUGCCACGUAUACCGCCUCAUAUCAAAAUGUCUUAGCGAGUUAUCUAACUUCCCUUGAAAAUUGAACGAUUUAUGCCCAUGUGCUCACCUUUUAUAAAUAUAAGGUUUAGAUGGAUUUGGAGACGGAAAACAGGAUAGCUGCAAUUCUUAUGAAAGAGGCAGCAGAAUUGCGGCGACAAGCUGAGGAGGGUGGUGUGCAUGUUUAUCUUAGGCAGCCCAAUGUUAGGGGUCAGCCGAAUUCACGUUUUCCUCACAGCAACUGUUCUUGGUGUACAACAGGGUUAGUUCUGUAGUUGUUUAAGUAUAAAAAAAAUUAUAGUGUGAUUCGAUACUUAUGAAGAGUGUAUGUGUAAUUUAACAUUACUAUAUCUAUAUAGUUCUGAUGCGCACCAGUUUGGUGCCCCCUUCAGCCAA